UAACUCAUCUCACCCUGGUGAAAAACACCCUCAUGCUUGCAUCGGUAUUAAGUGAUACAAUUAUGCACAAAGCCUUGGUGAUUAGCACUGUAACGAAUUUCCCCGUUAAUUUACAGCCAGACACAUUUCCUGUAUUCUACAGCAUACCUACUGUAAAGUACAACAGCAUAAAACUAAAAAAAGAAAACGGUACACUGCUGCAGUGCAAAAGACAUUCAAAAUAUUUUGAAAACUGUUAUAUACAAUUGAACACUGAACACAUUCUCAACAAUCUGCAACCAAACAAAUUCUGGAACUACAUUUUCCAGUUGGCCUCCCUUGUUGAAAAAAAAAAAAAGCAUGAUUAACCAUCAGGUGAGGCUGUUGUGACGACGCUGCUCCCCUGUGGUUGCUCAGGACAGCGUCAAGGGAAGCCACGGAGUCGUUGGCAUCACACCAAUCAAAUCACAGUAUGUCAUCAACGUCAUUGAACGAAACAACGGAAUAUCUGUGUUGGUAAGCCAGCGAAAGUAUUAAGCGCAAUGAUGAAGGCGGAGAUUUGGAGUAUUUAGUAAAAAAUCAUUUGACUAAACUGCUUUUACAGCAGCAACUCUGAAUUAAUUGAAUGAAUUUAAUUGACGGCAGGCCAACACCAAAACUAGAGCUCCGUACUGAGAGGAAGAAAGGUUCUCAGACUUUCAAUGAGGAGAAUUACGUCCGCAGCGAGUGGCUACACGUAGAGCGUUGUGUUUGACGUGGACGUAAAACUUAAUGGCUUCUGAUUGCGUGUGUGUGUGUGUGUGUGUGUGUGUGUGUGUGUGUGUGUGUGUGUGAGAGAGUGAGGUAAAAUGAUGCGGGGCCUAAAAGUUCACCCGACUACAUGAAAUAGCAACAUAUAAAUUGCAACAUAUGAAUUUCUGUAAAACACACACAGCUUUGAGGUUGUGUUUCACUUGGCCUCCUUGAAAAUGUUCCCCACGCCACUGCUGAAAGUGUUUUGUUUUUUUAAUCCGCGUGAGAGUUGCCGCCUUCUUGGACCAGCUUCCCUGUCCUUGUAGACACCACCGUCCCCUGGUUGUCCCUCUUUCUGGGUUCAGCCCAAGGAAGCGCUAAUAUGUAAUAAAUUAUAAUGACCUUUGUGUCUACUAAUGAGAGAAUAUUAUUGUCAUCUACGUAAAUAUUUUAUUUAUAUGAAAUAACAUGUGCCCCUCUGUAAGAAUCCAGCAUUUUCACAUAAGUCUAAUUAGAUUUCAGAACAUGAAUAAAGGAUCAUAUCUUACGUGGGACCAUUGAAUUAACGCGGUUCAGCAGAAAGCUAACGUAACGUUAGCUUAGGUUAGCACCGCAAAUAAAUGUAGUUCCAUCCGCAAAUAUGAAUCGUAAAAUGUUAUCCUAAAUCCUUCUGUGUGCAUUUGUAUAUCGAAUACAUUUGUGAGUUGUUCUGUGCGCAUUUGCAAUUAUUGAGACGGAUCUGACCCCAUAUAUCCGCCCGCCUACCGAUCUCUCAUCGUCAAACAGGGGACCCGCUACGGACACGAGUUCAUCCGCCAAGCAAACGCGCCUUUUCCCUGCAGGCAGCUGACAGGCAGCUAACAGACAGCCUACAUUAGGACCCACGGGGUGAUUAAAAGGGGGGUGGGGUAAUUACCUGGGCCUCUCCUUCUCAACGCAACUUUGAACGAGACCUGAACGCAACGAGCAACCACCACGAGGCCAUUGUUUGAUUUGAAUGGCUCAAUUUUAUGACCUCCCAGGUGAUGCUGGUUAGCCUGUCUGGGUGUUUUGCUUUCACGUAAACUGUGAUUUUAACAAACGGAUCCGCUGCAUUUCAAGUGAGAAGCCUUUUUGUAGGGAAACGUUUUCACAGCAACCUUUUUGAUAAAAUGAAUAGAAAGACAGGGCCGGUCUCCAGCUCCACCAUAAGACUGCGGGUCCAUCAAGAUCUUCAAAAAGAGACUUGAACAAAUUAGUCAAAAGUGACCAGUCCUCCUCCAUCCUCCUCCAUCAGCUGACACCACAAAGCAGAGUUGCAGAUGUCAGUGGAGAGAAGUGUCUGCGCAGAUGUCAGACCAUUCCAGGUUGCCCCUCCAACCUUUGCCCCUCUUCCACACACUCCUCCACCCGCACAACUGAACAGUAGACGACAGGCAGGAGGAACACCGUCUUCAAGCCAGUACAGGCCAACUUGGCGAGAGCGGCGGUGUGGAUCUGGCACCGUUGCCUGCUGUGCUGCUCACGUUCAGAUGCUGGGUUUGCUGGAGGAUAUGAAGCAGAUGCUGCGACAAUUAACGGCGAUGGUUGAACAGCUCGCCACAAACAAAGAUACAACCGGCCAAGAAGAAGUGACUGGGGACCCGGUUCAGUUUCUGUCUUUUUGUUUCUGACACUUCAGUCACCCGGAGGUCUUGGGUAGUCUUACAACUUACAAAGUUGUAUGUUUCCCAGAUCUUUAUCAACCUGGCAGCAGUCCGGAGGGGCUCCAGGAGGCGUGCCGCUAAUAUUCAACACUCAUGAAGAUGUAUUCAAAUGGUGUAUACUUGUACAAAUCUUUAUUAAAAUGUUUUGAUUAA
This is a non-coding RNA of Gasterosteus aculeatus aculeatus (three-spined stickleback), 2549 nucleotides long. The record is from RefSeq and is a predicted model, not a curated record. NCBI's taxonomy places the organism in Eukaryota, Metazoa, Chordata, Actinopteri, Perciformes, Gasterosteidae.